Long non-coding RNA from Apus apus (common swift), 224 nucleotides. RefSeq lists it as uncharacterized. The transcript is spliced from 3 exons. The record is from RefSeq and is a predicted model, not a curated record. NCBI's taxonomy places the organism in Eukaryota, Metazoa, Chordata, Aves, Apodiformes, Apodidae.
UCUUCCCUGCAGGGCCUGGAGAGUGACUGGCAGGGCCAGAACGAGAAGGACCAGGAGCUGCUGACGAGCAUCCAGGUCAGAGCUGUCAAGCUGGAGAGGAUCGGUGAGGCCCUCACCUCGGUCACCAGGAGCCUCAUGGACAAGCUUCAGCAGACGGACGAAGAUCUCAAGGCUCUGUCCCUGUGCAUGGAGAGGCUGCAGGAGAAAGCGGACAAGGUGGACUG